RNAcentral lists this ribosomal RNA (491 nucleotides) under uncultured bacterium. RNAcentral describes it as "bacterial SSU rRNA". It matches the Rfam family "Bacterial small subunit ribosomal RNA", at positions 29 to 505 of the family's 1533-position model. The record is from RNAcentral.
AACGAACGCUGGCGGCAGGCCUAACACAUGCAAGUCGAGCGCAUCAGGGGCAACUCUGGUGAGCGGCGCACGGGUGAGUAACACGUGAGUAAUCUGCCUCAAUGUUAGGGAUAACCGUCCGAAAGGAUGGCUAAUACCUAAUAAGCCCACGCCCCGAUAGGGGAGAGGGAAAAGCGGGGGAUCGCAAGACCUCGCGCAAUGAGAUGAGCUCGCGGCCCAUUAGGUAGUUGGUGAGGUAAUGGCUCACCAAGCCAAAGAUGGGUAGCUAGUCUGAGAGGACGAUCAGCCACACUGGAACUGAGACACGGUCCAGACUCCUACGGGAGGCAGCAGUGGGGAAUCUUGCGCAAUGGACGAAAGUCUGACGCAGCCAUGCCGCGUGAGUGAUGAAGGCCCUCGGGUCGUAAAGCUCUGUCCAAGGGGACGAAAAAGCAGUCGGCGAAUAACCGGCAGCCCUGACGGUACCCUUGAGAAAGCACCGGCUAACUCCG